Long non-coding RNA from Neopelma chrysocephalum (saffron-crested tyrant-manakin), 219 nucleotides. RefSeq lists it as uncharacterized. The transcript is spliced from 3 exons. The record is from RefSeq and is a predicted model, not a curated record. Lineage: Eukaryota; Metazoa; Chordata; Aves; Passeriformes; Pipridae.
CCACCAACCAGAGUGCCUGGGUCUACCUGCGCUGCAUCCUCUCCCGAGCCACCCCCCCGCCGAGGAUCAUCUGCGUGUACGUCAACCGAGAGGACGCCACGUUGGUUGUCGUCUUCUCCCGCCCUGUCGUGGUGAGCCCGGAUCGCCCGGACCUGACGGCGACCCUGGAUGGCUCCGCCCUGGAAGGGGCGUGGUGCUCAGGGGAAGGGCGGCCAUGCC